CUUUUAUCACGAGAGGUGGAGGGACUGGCCCAGUGAAACCCAACAACCGGCACUAAAGUGCAUCGGUGCUAAUUCCUGCAGAAUAAAACGAAUUCUGAAAGAUAAGGA
RNAcentral lists this non-coding RNA (108 nucleotides) under Clostridium autoethanogenum. Its description in RNAcentral is "SAM-I sequence". It matches the Rfam family "SAM riboswitch aptamer (S box leader)". Rfam says of the family: The SAM riboswitch is found upstream of a number of genes which code for proteins involved in methionine or cysteine biosynthesis in Gram-positive bacteria. The SAM riboswitch acts at the level of transcription termination control. The record is from RNAcentral. Lineage: Bacteria; Bacillati; Bacillota; Clostridia; Eubacteriales; Clostridiaceae.